GCGGAAUUUCUCUCUGUGUUGAAGGCCCAUUGAUGGCCUUGUGUUGUUUUGUACUUUUGAAGGAUUUGUCUCUUUGAUACAUUCUCCGUUUUCAUUCUUUAUUCUAAGUUAAAAACAAAUAUACGGGGCUACCUCUUUACUUACUUAAAAGAGUUAUCUUUUAAUGCUUUCAUUAUAAUCAUGUUAUGUAGAGUUAAUGCUGAGGCACUUUCUAGUUAAAAAGGGGCGUUAGAAGUAUAUUUGGCAAGCUAAUACGUAUUCAUUUUACAUGUAGUUGACAAAAUACCAAAGACACUAUCAAGUUGAACAUAUAAAAUAAAUCAGAAACAAUAGCCAACUAUUAUGCAAUGCCUUUAUAUAAUCAUUUCAAUAACAGCGUGGCUCGACAACAACAAUACUUACACCAGAAUGUCGUUAAAUGUAGUUUGAUACCCUGUAUUUAUCAUGCUUUCCUAUGAAUUGAGAUAAAAUUGCUUGAAGACCCCUCCUGAAUUAUAGAAACCUAUCAUUUUACAUAAAAAAUAUAUCUUGGGGUGUAAAUCUGAUACACUUACUAGUGCUAGCGCCCUCGUGGUGUAUCUAAUACGUAUGUUGGUAAUACUACUGAAUCAUGACAUUACCCUUUAACUUGUUUUUCAUCGGCUAUCGAUAAUACUGAUGUUAAUACGCUUACUCAGUCUGUCAGAGUCGUUCGGAACUUCGAAUGGGAAUUUGAAUAGAAUAAAAAAAGUAAAGUACAUGCAGGUGCGCGAGAAGACAAAAAGGAAAGUUUAAGUAUUUAACAUUUAAAUCAACCCACAAGGUUUAGUCCUCUACUUGUUAUUCGCAUUAUUUCAUUUACGCGUUUAGAACCUUUGGUGAACCUUCAGUUUAAAUAGACAAUAAUAGUGCAUGGACUUGACGUAUCAACGAUAUAAGGAUGAGGCUUAAAAACGGGGAAAUGCUAUGCUGUGCCAAACUAUUUCCCCCGUUUCGGGCCGAAUCCUUAUAUCGGCUAUUAUUGUCUUUAUACUGCAAUCUAAAAAACAUUUUCAAUUGUUGUUUAAUGCGUUAAGGUUAUUUAUUUGAUUUGAAUAUUUGGGGAAAUCCCCUUUAAAAAGGCCUCAUAUCAUGCUCACGGAGAAAUUUUCAACACAAUGAAAUGUACA
RNAcentral lists this long non-coding RNA (1148 nucleotides) under Mytilus galloprovincialis (Mediterranean mussel). Lineage: Eukaryota; Metazoa; Mollusca; Bivalvia; Mytilida; Mytilidae. The record is from RNAcentral.